GCAGAUUCUUCCUCAGGAGCUACAAGGGAGGAUGAACCCUGCGACGCUGCAGCAAGUUGAGAGGUGGUCUGAAGCACUUAGCCUAAAUGCUGAGGCUGCAGAAGACCCGUCCAUCUCGGGCCGCCCCUGCUCCACACCUGGUGAGACUCACUUCAGCCAAGAGGAGCAGGAUGCCAACCACAUCAGGAUGGCUUUGUGUCAGCACCCGAUCCCUGGAGCUACAGUCUGCUAA
RNAcentral lists this long non-coding RNA (232 nucleotides) under Fukomys damarensis (Damara mole-rat). RNAcentral's name for it is "lncRNA (ENSFDAG00000031982.1)". The record is from RNAcentral. Lineage: Eukaryota; Metazoa; Chordata; Mammalia; Rodentia; Bathyergidae.